Molecule: ribosomal RNA, 428 nt
Filed under: uncultured bacterium
Lineage: Bacteria
Description: bacterial SSU rRNA
Rfam family: Bacterial small subunit ribosomal RNA
Source: RNAcentral
UGGGGAAUCUUGCGCAAUGCGCGAAAGCGUGACGCAGCAACGCCGCGUGCGGGAAGAAGGCCUUCGGGUUGUAAACCGCUUUCAGUUGGGACGAAGGUUCGCCGGUUAAUAGCCGGCUGGACUGACGGUACCUUCAGAAGAAGCCCCGGCUAACUACGUGCCAGCAGCCGCGGUAAUACGUAGGGGGCAAGCGUUGUCCGGAAUCAUUGGGCGUAAAGCGCGUGUAGGCGGCCACGUAAGUCCGCUCUGAAAGCCCGGGGCUCAACCCCGGGAGGCGGGUGGAUACUGCGUGGCUCGAGUCCGGAAGAGGCGAGUGGAAUUCCCGGUGUAGCGGUGAAAUGCGCAGAUAUCGGGAGGAACACCAAUGGCGAAGGCAGCUCGCUGGGACGUGACUGACGCUGAGACGCGAAAGCGUGGGGAGCAAACAG